This 274-nucleotide ribosomal RNA is filed under the name uncultured prokaryote. RNAcentral's name for it is "partial 16S ribosomal RNA". It matches the Rfam family "Bacterial small subunit ribosomal RNA", at positions 524 to 798 of the family's 1533-position model. The record is from RNAcentral.
UACGUAUGGGGCAAGCGUUAUCCGGAAUUAUUGGGCGUAAAGAGUGCGUAGGUGGUUACCUAAGCGCAAGGUUUAAUCUUGAGGCUCAACCUCAUUCUGCCUUGCGAACUGGGCUACUUGAGUGCAGGAGGGGAAAGCGGAAUUCCCAGUGUAGCGGUGAAAUGCGUAGAUAUUGGGAAGAACACCGGUGGCGUAGGCGGCUUGCUGGACAGUAACUGACGCUGAGGCGCGAAAGCCAGGGGAGCAAACGGGAUUAGAUACCCUGGUAGUCCCU